Molecule: unclassified non-coding RNA, 243 nt
Filed under: Glomeraceae sp.
Lineage: Eukaryota; Fungi; Glomeromycota; Glomeromycetes; Glomerales; Glomeraceae
Description: partial contains 5.8S ribosomal RNA and internal transcribed spacer 2
Rfam family: 5.8S ribosomal RNA (bases 1-71)
Source: RNAcentral
GUGAAUCAUCGAAUUUUUGAACGCAAAUUGCGCUUCCUGGCAUCCCGGGAAGUAUGCCUGUUUGAGGGUCAGUAUUAACAAAAAAUCGGUUUGGUUGCAACUUGUGACGUUUCCGGAGUAUGGGCUUAUCUUAACUUUUUUGGUUAAGGGGCUUAAAAUUGACUUUUUUUGCGCAUUUUAUUAGAUGUACAUAAAUUUUUUUUUUUUUUCGUCGGUCUAAUUGCUCAAUAUCUUAUGAUAUGA